GUUGGGUUACAAGGGAGCCGGAAUCAUUAAUGAAAUAUCUUUUUUAGCCGUUUGACAAGUUACCUACUUUUGUACAAAAUCUGGGGGCGUUUUGAUUCUCCUUCUCUUGCAACGCCUUCUCUCGGACCAUGAAGAAAUCUUUUCUUGUUGAACAAAUUAACCACUCAAUGCAAGGAAUUUUGACAGAUGGUACAAAGAAUUCAUCAUUUUAGUUCUGCUGCAGAGAAUCAAUUUUGUUGCAUUUUAAGGUCAAUGGAAAAUAAUCAUUUCUCAUGGUAUCUUGAUAUACAUUUUAAUCAUUUAGCUUUUCAUAUAACUAAUCUGUCCUUCAAGUUUAUCAUCUCUCCCUCACUCUUUCUUUUUAAUUUUUCAUCUUUCUCAUUGUUCUUUAUUCCACAAUCUUUUGAUACCAGGACAUCUACAACCAUGUCCAGAUUUUUGAUAGUUUAUUUCUUCACUUGGAUUAUAAAAUAGUUGGUUGCUUGGAGGUGUGCAUUAUCCAUGAUACAGGACAGGGAAUUAGCAGCGAUGAAGAUGGAAGCGAUAGGGAUGAAGACGCUGAUUCAAGGGGUUGAUCAUGAUGGAAACCCAACCAUGGAGUGCUGGAUUAAGAGUCCUUUUUGCAUUUGAGUUCUGGUUUAGCCAAGUCAAAAGUCCUUCUAAUAUUUUGUUCCUAAAUUAAGUCAGGAUUAGCAUCUUUGUUUGAUUAAGUUUCUGAGUUACGAGUCCUUGUUGGUUUAGCCUUAAGAUUUAGUUUUUCUUUGAGUUCGUUUGCGAUGAGUUACGGUGUGUGCGAUCCUAUAUAAGGAAUCGCAAGGAGGGCUCGUUCCUUCUUCUGCUUGGUCUUUGUUUUUUCAGCCAUCAAUGAAUGAAAAUU
Molecule: long non-coding RNA, 877 nt
Filed under: Phoenix dactylifera (date palm)
Lineage: Eukaryota; Viridiplantae; Streptophyta; Magnoliopsida; Arecales; Arecaceae
Description: long non-coding RNA (PDAC_LNC002874)
Source: RNAcentral